This 737-nucleotide ribosomal RNA is filed under the name Lactobacillus casei group sp. RNAcentral's name for it is "bacterial SSU rRNA". It matches the Rfam family "Bacterial small subunit ribosomal RNA", at positions 52 to 753 of the family's 1533-position model. Lineage: Bacteria; Bacillati; Bacillota; Bacilli; Lactobacillales; Lactobacillaceae. The record is from RNAcentral.
UACAUGCAAGUCGAACGAGUUCUCGUUGAUGAUCGGUGCUUGCACCGAGAUUCAACAUGGAACGAGUGGCGGACGGGUGAGUAACACGUGGGUAACCUGCCCUUAAGUGGGGGAUAACAUUUGGAAACAGAUGCUAAUACCGCAUAGAUCCAAGAACCGCAUGGUUCUUGGCUGAAAGAUGGCGUAAGCUAUCGCUUUUGGAUGGACCCGCGGCGUAUUAGCUAGUUGGUGAGGUAAYGGCUCACCAAGGCGAUGAUACGUAGCCGAACUGAGAGGUUGAUCGGCCACAUUGGGACUGAGACACGGCCCAAACUCCUACGGGAGGCAGCAGUAGGGAAUCUUCCACAAUGGACGCAAGUCUGAUGGAGCAACGCCGCGUGAGUGAAGAAGGCUUUCGGGUCGUAAAACUCUGUUGUUGGAGAAGAAUGGUCGGCAGAGUAACUGUUGUCGGCGUGACGGUAUCCAACCAGAAAGCCACGGCUAACUACGUGCCAGCAGCCGCGGUAAUACGUAGGUGGCAAGCGUUAUCCGGAUUUAUUGGGCGUAAAGCGAGCGCAGGCGGUUUUUUAAGUCUGAUGUGAAAGCCCUCGGCUUAACCGAGGAAGCGCAUCGGAAACUGGGAAACUUGAGUGCAGAAGAGGACAGUGGAACUCCAUGUGUAGCGGUGAAAUGCGUAGAUAUAUGGAAGAACACCAGUGGCGAAGGCGGCUGUCUGGUCUGUAACUGACGCUGAGGCU